This 259-nucleotide ribosomal RNA is filed under the name uncultured bacterium. RNAcentral's name for it is "partial 16S ribosomal RNA". It matches the Rfam family "Bacterial small subunit ribosomal RNA", at positions 524 to 777 of the family's 1533-position model. The record is from RNAcentral.
GACGGAGGGUGCUAGCGUUGUUCGGAAUCACUGGGCGUAAAGGGCGCGUAGGCGGCCGCCCGCGUCGGACGUGAAAGCCCGGGGCUCAACCCCGGAACGGCGUCCGAUAACGGGGGCGGCUCGAGGCCGGGAGAGGGGGGUGGAAUACCCAGUGUAGAGGUGAAAUUCGUAGAUAUUGGGUGGAACACCGGUGGCGAAAGCGGCCCCCUGGCCCCGGUCCUGACGGCUGACGGCGCGAAAGCGUGGGGAGCAAACAGGG